Molecule: small nuclear RNA, 106 nt
Organism: Ornithorhynchus anatinus (platypus)
Lineage: Eukaryota; Metazoa; Chordata; Mammalia; Monotremata; Ornithorhynchidae
Source: RefSeq, a predicted model, not a curated record
GUGCUCAGUAAAUACGAGCUGCACAUAUAUUAAAAUUGGAACGAUACAGAGAUUAGCAAGGAUGCGCAAGGAUGACAAGCAAAUUUGUGAAGUGUUCCAUAUUUUU